AUUGAACGCUGGCGGCAGGCCUAACACAUGCAAGUCGAGCGGCAGCACGGGUACUUGUACCUGGUGGCGAGCGGCGGACGGGUGAGUAAUGCCUAGGAAUCUGCCUGGUAGUGGGGGAUAACGCUCGGAAACGGACGCUAAUACCGCAUACGUCCUACGGGAGAAAGCAGGGGACCUUCGGGCCUUGCGCUAUCAGAUGAGCCUAGGUCGGAUUAGCUAGUUGGUGAGGUAAUGGCUCACCAAGGCGACGAUCCGUAACUGGUCUGAGAGGAUGAUCAGUCACACUGGAANUGAGACACGGUCCAGACUCCUACGGGAGGCAGCAGUGGGGAAUAUUGGACAAUGGGNGAAAGCCUGAUCCANCCAUGCCGCGUGUGUGAAGAAGGUCUUCGGAUUGUAAAGCACUUUAAGUUGGGAGGAAGGGCAUUUACCUAAUACGUAAGUGUUUUGACGUUACCGACAGAAUAAGCACCGG
Molecule: ribosomal RNA, 475 nt
Filed under: Pseudomonas sp. NN018599
Lineage: Bacteria; Pseudomonadati; Pseudomonadota; Gammaproteobacteria; Pseudomonadales; Pseudomonadaceae
Description: bacterial SSU rRNA
Rfam family: Bacterial small subunit ribosomal RNA
Source: RNAcentral